This 359-nucleotide unclassified non-coding RNA is filed under the name uncultured fungus. RNAcentral's name for it is "sequence contains ITS1". Lineage: Eukaryota; Fungi. The record is from RNAcentral.
AGCAAAGUCAACAGAAUGACAAGGUCUCAGUUACAUACAUGUGAAUUGAAAGAGUCAUGCAUUUUUGGCCGUGUUGAAAUAUCUUAAUUAAGUGGAGGAAAUUAGGCAUUUUUUUUGCAUUAUUAAGGGAGGCUUGUUAUAAAGGUGAUGGUGAUAAUAUAAAAAACAGUGGAAAAAGCAAAAAGGUUAAAAGGGUGAAAGAAUGGGAAAAGGAAAAGGUUUUGUGAGAAAAGGUCUGUGCAUGUGUAAUUCAAAAUAGAAAAUAGAAAGGUGACUGUUGAAGACUUGAGUACUUUAGCAAUAAAAGGAUUUGUAAAGAUUAUCGAUCGGUAUGCAAUGAGAAGGAAAGGUCAGGAAAA